GAUGAACGCUGGCGGCGUGCCUAAUACAUGCCAGUCGAGCGAACAGACGAGGAGCUUGCUCCUCUGACGUUAGCGGCGGACGGGUGAGUAACACGUGGAUAACCUACCUAUAAGACUGGGAUAACUUCGGGAAACCGGAGCUAAUACCGGAUAAUAUAUUGAACCGCAUGGUUCAAUAGUGAAAGACGGUUUUGCUGUCACUUAUAGAUGGAUCCGCGCCGCAUUAGCUAGUUGGUAAGGUAACGGCUUACCAAGGCAACGAUGCGUAGCCGACCUGAGAGGGUGAUUGGCCACACUGGAACUGAGACACGGUCCAGACUCCUACGGGAGGCAGCAGUAGGGAAUCUUCCGCAAUGGGCGAAAGCCUGACGGAGCAACGCCGCGUGAGUGAUGAAGGUCUUCGGAUCGUAAAACUCUGUUAUUAGGGAAGAACAAAUGUGUAAGUAACUAUGCACGUCUUGACGGUACCUAAUCAGAAAGCCACGGCUAACUACGUG
Molecule: ribosomal RNA, 497 nt
Filed under: uncultured bacterium
Lineage: Bacteria
Description: partial 16S ribosomal RNA
Rfam family: Bacterial small subunit ribosomal RNA
Source: RNAcentral